Schizosaccharomyces pombe (fission yeast) is the source of this 334-nucleotide non-coding RNA. NCBI's taxonomy places the organism in Eukaryota, Fungi, Ascomycota, Schizosaccharomycetes, Schizosaccharomycetales, Schizosaccharomycetaceae. The record is from the annotation of a GenBank genome assembly.
AGGAUGGUAAGAAUCACUUACAGGCAUUCGCAGACCAGCUGUACGAAGUGUUGAGAUGUAGUUAAUUUUAGCUACCCAUUCUAUCAUGCUUUCUUCUGUUGGAGCACAAAGAGUCUCUUCAGAUCCAUCCCGAAAUAUGACGGUAAAAGAACAAUUGCGUACAUUCUUCUUAUCUCUGUCACAAUAGGCAAACGCAUUAACAAGCGAAUAACUGGUAUCGGGGGAAAACUCUUCUAGAGGUGGAGUAAAUACAAGCGGAGGAAUUUUUGGAAAUUCAUAUUCCAUAGCCUCUGUAUCUAUACCUUGCAACGUGUCAAAACUGCUCGAGGUAGUU